Molecule: transfer RNA, 92 nt
Filed under: Dermacoccus nishinomiyaensis
Lineage: Bacteria; Bacillati; Actinomycetota; Actinomycetes; Micrococcales; Dermacoccaceae
Description: tRNA-Arg(cct)
Source: RNAcentral
CGCGCGACAGCCGGCGUCCGCGCCCACCGCUUCCUGCGCGGCGAGAACCACCUGACGUUCGCGUGGGUCGGUUCCGCGCCGGCGCGCGCGGC